Molecule: ribosomal RNA, 488 nt
Filed under: uncultured bacterium
Lineage: Bacteria
Description: bacterial SSU rRNA
Rfam family: Bacterial small subunit ribosomal RNA
Source: RNAcentral
UAGAGUUUGAUCAUGGCUCAGAACGAACGCUGGCGGCAUGCCUCAUACAUGCAAGUCGAACGCGGGGUCUUGGUUCGCCGGGGCUCUGAGUGGCGCACGGGUGAGUAGCGCGUGGGAACCUGCCCAGCAGUGGGGGAUAACCGAUGGAAACGUCGGCUAAUACCGCAUUCGCCGGAGUAAUCCGGGAAAGAUUUAUCGCUGUUGGAGGGGCCCGCGUCGGAUUAGCUAGUUGGUGGGGUAACGGCCUACCAAGGCUAUGAUCCGUAGCUGGUCUGAGAGGAUGAUCAGCCACACUGGGACUGAGACACGGCCCAGACUCCUACGGGAGGCAGCAGUAGGGAAUAUUGGACAAUGGGCGCAAGCCUGAUCCAGCAAUGCCGCGUGAGUGAGGAAGGCCUUAGGGUUGUAAAGCUCUUUCGCACGCGACGAUGAUGACGGUAGCGUGAGAAGAAGCCCCGGCUAACUUCGUGCCAGCAGCCGCGGUACGC